RNAcentral lists this ribosomal RNA (253 nucleotides) under uncultured bacterium. Its description in RNAcentral is "partial 16S ribosomal RNA". It matches the Rfam family "Bacterial small subunit ribosomal RNA", at positions 524 to 776 of the family's 1533-position model. The record is from RNAcentral.
GACAGAGGUGGCAAGCGUUGUCCGGAAUUACUGGGCGUAAAGCGCACGUAGGCGGAUUGUUAAGUCGGGGGUGAAAUCCUGGAGCUCAACUCCAGAACUGCCUUCGAAACUGGCGAUCUUGAGUCCGGGAGAGGUGAGUGGAACUGCGAGUGUAGAGGUGAAAUUCGUAGAUAUUCGCAAGAACACCAGUGGCGAAGGCGGCUCACUGGCCCGGUACUGACGCUGAGGUGCGAAAGCGUGGGGAGCAAACAGG